Mytilus californianus (California mussel) is the source of this 613-nucleotide long non-coding RNA. RefSeq lists it as uncharacterized. NCBI's taxonomy places the organism in Eukaryota, Metazoa, Mollusca, Bivalvia, Mytilida, Mytilidae. The transcript is spliced from 3 exons. The record is from RefSeq and is a predicted model, not a curated record.
UCUGAGCAUGCGCACUUUCACCGCUUGAUUUUUAAAAACAGUGAUAAAACUUGCAGUGAAAUUUAGCUCGAUCCAGAUUCCAGAACAAAGAAAAAGAGUCUUGUAUAAAAAUUCACAGAGCCAAUGUGUCUGAGGUUGAGGAAUGCAUUGCAGUAACACUUAAGCAUGCACCAGCUAGCUCAAAAAGAUGGACCAAGUUAUAAAAAGAGACCUGAAACCAACACAAGACCAGCUGAUCAGAGGGCAGAAAACCAAAAUUUGGAAUGACAUGUAUACAACCAACACAAGACUAAAAUUUGGAAUAAAAAUUAAAAAAAAAAUCAGAAACAUAUUAUUUUUUUAUUGGUUCAUGUAGCUUAGAAAAAAGAAGUCUUAACUUUUGGAUAGGUCUAUCUCUAGUUGGUCAAUGGAAAAAAAGCAAUAGUUAGUUUGAUUGAAUUUCAGGUAUUUUCUUCAUUUGGGAUAUAUUUAGAAGUGUGUAUAAGUUGUGUAGAAUAUAUAUUUGUAAAUUAGACAGUCAGCUUUUGGGCCUUUUUCCAAACUUUUUUCCUAGCUUGUCAUUGUGUAGUGAAUCCAGCUGAAUGAAUCUACAGUAAAUAUUAAGGUAUAUGUG